GGGCCCGUAGCUUAGCCAGGAUAGAGCGCUGGCCUCCGGAUCUGAUAGAGAAAGCCAGAGGUCCCGGGUUCAAAUCCCGGCGGGCCCG
This 88-nucleotide transfer RNA is filed under the name Stygiolobus caldivivus. RNAcentral describes it as "Stygiolobus sp. KN-1 tRNA-Arg". It matches the Rfam family "tRNA". Rfam says of the family: Transfer RNA (tRNA) molecules are approximately 80 nucleotides in length. Their secondary structure includes four short double-helical elements and three loops (D, anti-codon, and T loops). Further hydrogen bonds mediate the characteristic L-shaped molecular structure. tRNAs have two regions of fundamental functional importance: the anti-codon, which is responsible for specific mRNA codon recognition, and the 3' end, to which the tRNAs corresponding amino acid is attached (by aminoacyl-tRNA synthetases). tRNAs cope with the degeneracy of the genetic code in two manners: having more than one tRNA (with a specific anti-codon) for a particular amino acid; and 'wobble' base-pairing, i.e. permitting non-standard base-pairing at the 3rd anti-codon position. The record is from RNAcentral. Lineage: Archaea; Thermoproteati; Thermoproteota; Thermoprotei; Sulfolobales; Sulfolobaceae.